RNAcentral lists this ribosomal RNA (251 nucleotides) under uncultured bacterium. RNAcentral describes it as "partial 16S ribosomal RNA". It matches the Rfam family "Bacterial small subunit ribosomal RNA", at positions 524 to 776 of the family's 1533-position model. The record is from RNAcentral.
UACGAAGGGGGCGAGCGUUGUUCGGAUUUACUGGGCGUAAAGGGCGCGCAGGCGGCUCAUUUUGUCAGGCGUGAAAGCCCCGGGCUUAACCUGAGGUGCGUUUGAUACGGAUGGGCUAGAGUUCGGGAGAGGAGAGUGGAAUUCCCAGUGUAGAGGUGAGAUUCGUAGAUAUUGGGAAGAACACCGGUGGCGAAGGCGGCUCUCUGGACCGAGACUGACGCUGAGGCGCGAAAGCGUGGGGAGCAAACAGG